CUUCGGGGUCCGAGUUGUAAUUUGUAGAGGGUGUUUCGGGCGCGAUGCCGGUCUAAGUUCCUUGGAACAGGACGUCGCAGAGGGUGAGAAUCCCGUAUGCGACCGGCGAUCAAGUCUGUGUGAAACCCCUUCGACGAGUCGAGUUGUUUGGGAAUGCAGCUCAAAAUGGGUGGUAAAUUUCAUCUAAAGCUAAAUAUUGGCCAGAGACCGAUAGCGGACAAGUAGAGUGAUCGAAAGAUGAAAAGCACUUUGGAAAGAGAGUCAAACAGUACGUGAAAUUGUUGAAAGGGAAGCGCUUGCAAUCAGACCGGUCCGGAGGCGAUCAGCCGUCUGCUCGUUCAGCGGUGCACUCGCCUGCGAUCCGGCCAGCAUCGGUUUGGGCGGUGGGAUAAAAGUCCCGGGAAUGUAGCUUCUCUUGGGGAGUCUUAUAGCCCGGGUCGCAAUGCCGCCCGCCUGGACCGAGGACCGCGCUUCGGCUAGGAUGCUGGCGUAAUGGUUGCAAGCG
This 505-nucleotide ribosomal RNA is filed under the name Sticta riparia. RNAcentral describes it as "partial 28S ribosomal RNA". It matches the Rfam family "Eukaryotic large subunit ribosomal RNA", at positions 129 to 646 of the family's 3401-position model. Lineage: Eukaryota; Fungi; Ascomycota; Lecanoromycetes; Peltigerales; Lobariaceae. The record is from RNAcentral.